UGAGAAGAAAAAAAGAGGGAUUCAAUGUAGGCACUAUUGUUUGUUGAAAAGGCUUACACUGCUAAUUAUUAAUAAUUACAUUGUAAAACAACAACAGCAAUAACAAACCCAGUAUAUUCCCAUCAAGUAGGGUCUGGGAAGGGUAAGAUAUACACAGACCAUACCACUACUUCCGAGGAAGUAAAGAGGCUAUUUUCGAUGGACCCCCGGCUCAAGGUGGAGUUGACCUAUCCUUUAUUUUCUUUCUUUUAAUUUUGGUAUGCCUUUAAUGCACAAUGUUUUGAAACAGUAAGCAACUUCUCACUUAUCUUCCUUGUUUUUUUAUAUGAUGGUUUGGGUAUUUGUUUAUUGAAUUAUUGUAUUCAUUGAUUUGUGUGUCUAAUCAACCUUGUUUUUAUAAUACCACAAUACAUAUAGAAUGAUUAGUCUUAACUUAUAACAAAUCCCUGCACGCACCUUAUUGAUUUGUUUGACUGUUGAAUUAUGGGGUUGUUGUUUGUUGGUUUCUCAUAAACCUUUUGAAUCAAGUAACAUUAGGUGCAUGAGGUAAUGAAGUUUUUUCUCAUAAAUCAGGAGUGAGGGAAAAUAAGGAACUUCUUUGAAUCUACAAAAAAGUUAGAGUUUGGAAAAGAAGAUAAAAAGGAGUAGUUUCAUGUUUUUGGUUGGGCACCUUAAUGUUUGGUCUGUUUUGAGCUUGUAAGUCCUCUCUUUUAAAAAAGAAGUCCUCUCUUUUGAUAAAUUUAAUUUGAAAUUUUUUUUUGUUAGGUUUGUAAUAUUUAAAAUCAAGAAUCUAUUAGGUUUUGGUGCAGAUUCGGUUGGACUUCGAGAAUCUUUUGUAUACAUAUGAACAUUCAAUCAAGCUUUGAGGAAUUUUAUAUAGGUUAUAUUUAAUCAUAUUGUUUUUACAUUUUUAUUAUAGUAUCGUGUUAUUGAAAUGUCGAUGAAUGUUCAGUCAGACUUGAAGGAACUUUUUGUAAAAGUUAUGUUAUCUUGAUUAUCGCGAUGGUAGAUGAAUAUUCGAUCGGUACGUUUGUCCUAUAUUUUAAAAGAACAAAAACAAUGUAUAAAAAAAGUAACAGUUAUACAAAAACAAAUAUAGUUACAGAUUGCUUCAGCUUAUGAGCGGGAGAAUACACUAUCUACAGUUUAGAUCUCCCACAUCCUCUAAGUAAGUUUUAAUAUGAUGGAAAGCAUAAUUGCAUUCAUCAUGAUAAUGUUAUUUUUUGAAUGCGUCUUCUUUAAUAAUAAAACCUACAUCAUGGUAAAAAGACAAGCUCUCUGUAUUUUUUGAACUCUUAAGAUUUAGGAUGUUUAAGCAACCUGCCUCAUGAGAAUCUCUUUUUAUUAUAUUUUCUAUUUUACUGACGAAAAUAUAAUCAAUGACACACCUUGCAACUUUCUUUCUGUUUAAGUCACAUGUUCAAGUGUGUUGCAUUUUUUUGGCGAUGAAAUGUUCUAUUGAUUUGGUUGUGGGAAUGUUUAUAAUUUUUCAUCCUAAAAUAUAUUGUAAGAGAUAAAUCUAUGGCAAAUUAAUAGUGGUAAUUUUCCUUUUUCUUCUUGAGUAAAAAAAAUGAAUUCUGAAAUAUAUGGUUAGAAAAAAGUCAUAACAUAUAUGGUAAGAAAAUAAAAAAAAAUAUGAUAGAUUUUCAAGCUUUCACAGCAAAUCUGUAGAAGUUUAUUUACUUAGAGGGAGACCAUGAGUUAUCGAGAAUUGUUUUUGCCAAUUUGGUCGUGCAGAUCACACCAAAUUAUGCAAUAUAUUAGUCUUUUAAUUUUUCUUUUUUAGUCUUUUUUAUUUUUAUCAUUACUUUCAGAUUGUUAUCUUCUGCUUUAUUAAAAUUCUUAUUGAUAUUUAAAUUUAUCACAAGUAAUUGUGUUAUAUUAUUAUACUAUUAUAUAAUAGUUUAAAAUGUGUUUUCGUGCAUUUAAUAUCAAUGACAAAAUUUGUUGACUUUAAAUAAUUACAAAAUUAUAUAUAAACCCUCAUAAUAUAUUAUACAUAAAAUUUAAAAUAAUAACUCCUAAAAACACGUAUAAUCCUACUUAGGUUAACAAAAAUCACAUCCUUUUAAAAACUCUUAACAAUUGGUCAAUAAAUCCUUCAUUCAUAGUCCAGUACUCUUUAUUACUAAUAACGUUUCUUUAAACAUUCUUCUUCUUUAUAUUGUUCUAUUUAUGUUAUUAAAGUUAUAUGACAAUCUGUACAUCUAAUAUAUUCUGGAUAAUUUUUGUUUUUCCAGAAUUAUGCUUAUAUAUCAUAAAAAGCUUUUGUACGUUCUGAUGUCAAUUUUUAUAAAUAUCAAUCAAUUUAUCUGAUAAUAGAGUUUACUGCUAUUAGAUGUGGUCAUAAAACUAAAAAGUCGUGUGUCAAAAGUGUCGAAAAAAUCGUUUAGCAUUUGAAGUUAACUAAUCUAACGAAUAUAGAGUCCAACUACAUCAUUUAAAUAAAUAUAAAAAUUAUUUUUACAUUAAGUGCUAUUUUUAAAUAAUUUUAUUUUUUAUGUAUAUUUUUAUUUAUAGACAUGAUCAGAUACACGUGCAUCGCACGUACAUUAAACUAGUAGUAAUAAAAUUAGUAGAGUUCAUUUAGAACUCUUUUGCAACUUUCGUAAUCUUAUCAUUUCAGAUAUCGUAACCUCACCCAGCCUCACCCGUUAAUGAAAAGGUACAUAUAUCUCCUUGAACUUUAAUAAAUGGUACAGAUAUAUCCACCGUCAUACUUUAGGUACAAAUAUACCCAUGAACAUAGAUAAGUGGUACAGAUAUACCCUCCAUCAUACUUUAGGUACAAAUAUAUCCUUGUCGUUAAUGAAAAGGUACACAUACACCCUUCUUAUUAACGACAGGACACGUGUCAAAAUUCUAUUUAUUUGACCUUUUUAAAUUUAAUUUAUCUCCACUCCACCCCAAAAUAAUUCUAAUUUAAUCCACAAUCCGAUCCAAAUAAUAAUCCAAACUCAAUCUGGUCUAAUAGAAUGAGAAAGAGAGAUUGAAUAUGUGUGAAUAGAGAUGCAUCUUGAAGGUUCUAUUAGACUGGAUCGGGUUUGGGUUAUUAUUUGAAUCGGUUUGUGGGUUAAAUUAGAAUUAUUUUUGAGUAGGAUGGAGAUAAAUUAAAUUUAAAAAAGGCAAAUGAAAAAGAUUGUGCCACGUGUCCUGCUGUUAGUGAGAAUGGUUUAUAUGUACCUUUUUAUUAACGACAAGAGUAUGUUUGUACCUAAAGUAUGACGGAGGGUAUAUUUGUAUCAUUUAUCAAAGUUCAGGGGUAUAUAUGUAUCUUUUCAUUAAUGACAGAGAUAUAUUUAUACCUAAAGUAAGACAGAAGGUAUAUUUGUACUAUUUAUUAUAGUUUAGGGGUAUAUAUGUACCUCUUUAUUAACUAAAAGGGUAUAUUUAUAUCUAAAGUAUAACGAAGGGUAUGUCUGUACCAUUUAUUAAAGUUCAGGGGUAUAUUUAUACUUUUUUUCGUAAAAAGUUUAAAAGUUAAAAAAAUAAAAUAUGGUGGGGAUGUGGUGGGCAAAGGUAAGAGAUGGGUGUGGAAUUGGUAGGGUGGAUAAUUUUGAAAGUAGCAUGAGAAUUUUUAAUUGACUUAAUUUAGAAGAUAUAAUAAUAAGUAUAAAUAAAUACUUAAAGAUAUUAAUGACAAAACCAAAAAAUGAAAAAAUUAUGAAGAAAAAGUAUGAAAAUUAAAAAGAAAAUAAUAAAUUAUCUGUGCUUAAUUUUGAGUUAGGAGUUAUGAUAUUUAAAAUUUGAAAUUAGAAGUUUUGUAACUGACAAAAUUAAGUACUUUUAGUAUUUGAAAUGAAACUGAAAGAUAAUUUUUUAUAUUUUAUAAAAAGUGUAGUUAGUAGUUGAAGUUGAAUUGAGAGACCAAAAGACACAAAUUUGAAAUGGAAGAAAAGAAAUAUAAUUAUAUGUCUUAAUUUAUUACAAAUAUAAAGGUAAUAAUUCAACAAUAAAAUUAAUAAUUAUUUAAUAUUUUUAGAAAUAAUUUAAUGGAAUAUGAUUGAAACAAAUACUAGUAUUUUUUUAUAUCAAAACAUCUAAAAUAAUCGCAAUUGUGACUUAUUAUCAUGUAUCAGUUGUAAUUUCAUAUUCACAAUUGUUUAAUAUUUCAUUAUUUUUUGAAAUAGGUUAAUGCGAUAUAAUAAAAAUUAAUUAAUUUUAUAAUUUCAGAGUAGAUAAGUUAGUGUAUUUUAAUAAAUAUUUUUUAACAUUCCAUGCAUCGUACGGGUACCUAUACUAGUUAAAGCUAAAAACAAAAAAAUAAUAUGGUUGAUGGCCUGCUACUAAUUCUCAAUAAAAAACAGUUAAAAUAAACAAAAAUAAUCAAACUUUGAUUAUGUAAAGUGAAAUCAAAUCAAAUUACAAGUAAUGACUCUAUCUAAAUCCAAGAAAAGGAAUGUAGUUACUCAGCGUCAUAAAUAACAACUCAAAAUUCAAAAAAUUAUUAAUGAAAAGCAAAACAAAAUGAAGGAUCGAAAAUUUAUGGAUGUGGCUUAUACUGUUGGUUAAAUUAUAAGAAAAUUACAAUUGAAAUUACAAGUGAAGAAAAUGAAAAAUAUCUUCUUCUUCGACUGAGGCGCAGACAUCUCGCUCUCUUUAAGGAGAUUCAAGUCAACUGCAACAAAUGUUUUUAUCGGUCCAACAAUAAUCUUCUUGACUAGUCCCAUCAAGAAUACAACAAUCUCCUCACAAAGAACAACUCAAUAACUCUAGACAAGAGUUGAGUUCAAAGCUCCACAAAAAGAAUACCCCCCUUCAACUAACAAACUCUCUUUUUUUACCAACUUUUGUUAAUUGAAUAUUUUCUUGUACUUGUAAAAUAUGCAAGACCACCUCAUUGUAGGGGGGUGCGGAUAGUACGGGUAACUUAACAUAGCUUAACACAACCCUUGAAAUGCUAUUUUUUUUAUGUGGUCAAGUAGAUUUUUUUUCGUAAGUAUUUCUGUUAAUCUUAUUUGCUCCAUAUCUUUUCUCCAAUAUUCUUAGUAUUCGUAGUUUAUCAUUUUAUCCUAUAGUAGUUGUAAUUUUACAAAUUUCUUUGUAAUAACUUAUUCUAAUCGUACUAUAUCUAAUAUGUGUUCUAUGUUAUCUAUGUGAUUCAUUAACAUUUGUUGUUCACGUAUAAUAUUAUAUAAACUAUCAUUUGUGUCUGCUUUUUCUAAGGAUAACUUUAUUCUAAAUAAUCUUUCUUCUAAUUGCCUUUUUUCUCUUCUACGCUGGUUCCUGUAAUUAAUUUCUUCAUAUAGCCAACUUUGUUUUUCUCUAACUCUUCUAAUAUAUUCUAUUAUUUUUUAAUCUGUAUAAUAUCCGUCUGAAUAAUAACUAUCUAAAUAUGAGCAGUAGCUAUCAUUAUAUAAGUGUAAGUUUUCUAUAGAACUUAAUAACUCUUCAUUAAAAUGAAAUACCUUUUCGUAUAUAAUUUUUUUUAUAUCUACUAUUUCUAUAUCCUUAAGUAUAUACAAAAUAAGUAUUUUAAAUUUAUCUAUCAUCUCAUCAGAUAAGUAAAUCAUAUGAUGCUAUUUUCAAAAUAUUCCUUCCAAUCAUAUACAUAAUAAAAUAUGGUCAUUUUAGAUCACUAUAUACUAGAUUAUUCUUAAAUAACAUGUUCUUCGGGCACUAUUAGCAUGGUAAUCUGGAUAUUUUUUCCCAAACAGUGCCUCUACUCUGGUUAACCCCCUACCACGACUUCUUUACCACACCGGUUUCAUAUUUAGGAUGGCAUAGCUCUUGAGAAUUUUUCUCCUUUUUCACUUUGCUAAUAAACUUUUUAACAUGCUAUUCUUCGAAUAAUUCUACUAUAAAGUAACUAAUAUGAACUUAUUUUAUUAUCUCAUGAUUGUCAGAAAUUUAUGAAUUUAGCUAUUCAUAAUUAUAAAUGAAAAUACCUAUUCUGGUAGAUUUGAUAAAUUUGUGCUUUGCUCAUCCAUAGCUUUUCCUUAGAAAUAUACCUGUUUUUAUUAAAUAUUCAAAAGUUUCUAUGUACAAGAGAGAAGGCUUGCUUUCAACACAUGAAAGUCUUGCCUUAGAUUGUCGUAUGACUUACAUAUUUAUAAUCCUAAAAAAUAAAAAUGCGUAAACUAUUUACACUAUUUCUAACUUUACAUUUGUCAAAAGACUAACAAUGGUCCUAACUUUACAUUUGUCAAAAAAGUGAAAAACAAAUAAUGGCAAGUGCCUAAAAAACUAAGAAAUGUCAAAAAUAGUAAAGAUUAAUAAUGUUACACAAUUAUUUACAUAUCUUAAGUCAAAAAGACUAUUCAUAUGUCAUUGUUAUGUCAUUUUCAUAGCUUGUUUCUUUGUUCUUUUUUAUUUCUCCACUGCUCCGUUGCUAUCUUUCUAUCUUUCAGUUGGCGUCCUUAUUUUUUUUAUUCAAGUUGAACUUCAGGGAUCACAUUAUUUUCUUCAUGAAAUUUUGUGCAUUGGUGGUCUGGAUAUUUGUAUCCUAUUAAUUUGCAAUCUGGUUAAUAAUUCUUCUGAAAUAAAUUCCCUUUUAAUUAUCCUUGUAAAUGGUUGUUUUUCUGGAUUGAGCAGCAUCAUAAUCCAUUGUUUAACUUUUUCCAUAUCAGACUGUCGUAGCUCCCUUGAAUUUGAAUAGAUCAUUAAUUGAUCUCUCGAAUAGUAGCUUCAUAUGGGAUUUCCAUUGACGUAAUUAUUUUCUAGUUGUUGAAUAAUUGUAGCUAUUCCUAUAGUUUAGUUAUUUGCAUAAAAAUCAGGUAUCACAACAUUAGGUAUCUGUAGCUGUUGAACAAUAUCUUCAGGUAUAAUCAUAUCUCUGGUUAAUUCUAUUUUUACAACUUGUAUAACUUAAUUUUGUCAUAUAAUAUCUCUGCUGGUGCAGUAUAAAACUUUAUAAAAAAUAGAUUUCUUUGGUUAUUUUCUUAUAAGUGGCGAAUGCUCUAUAUAAUUCUGGUAUAGUUGUUAGUUCAUCUCCUUCUUGGGUAUAUAUGGUAUUUAAUAGUCCAUAAUAGAAACAUGUUUUAACUAAAUUUGGGUUAGUUUUUAGUAAUGCGAUUAACUUGUUGUAACCUUGUAGUUUUUAGGUUAUAUAGUCUGUGUUUGGUUCAUGGAUAUUUAUGGCUCUGGGUAUAAGGUUUGGGUGAGUCUUUAUUUUGUGGAUAUUUUCUAUGUAUGCUUGAGUUAUAUGGUUAUACGCUUUUUUAUCUUGGUUUAAACUUUCUUGAUAUGUGGUAGUUUAUGGGUGUAUAAACAAGGGCUCUUUUUGUGUUUUUGGUAUAAAUGGUUUUUCAAAUAUCUUGUUCAUGUUCAUGUUCUGAUAUCUUUGUCCACUAACUCCUUUGCUUGUACCUGCAGUUGUAGAUUGAUAAAUGUUAUGGGUUUUAUGGAGUCUCCCAAUGUCUUCUUUUAUCUAUGGAAUUUUAUUGUCUACCGAUCGACAUUGCUCUGAACACUGCUGAGUUAUCUGAGUCAUAGCUUCAGACUUCAGUUUAACUUCAUUAGUCUUUAGCUAUUCUAUUUCAUUACCCAUACUGUCUACUUUCAGUAAAAGUGUAGUUAGGGUUUUGAGUAUCUUUU
RNAcentral lists this long non-coding RNA (7536 nucleotides) under Capsicum annuum. Its description in RNAcentral is "long non-coding RNA (CANN_LNC019009)". The record is from RNAcentral. Lineage: Eukaryota; Viridiplantae; Streptophyta; Magnoliopsida; Solanales; Solanaceae.